CACUUGUAUAUGCACAUAUACUUGCACUUGUAUAUGCACUUAUACUUGCACUUGUACUAAUUUACCUUACCUUUUGACGAACUUUUUUAGGUUGUGCAAAAUUUCUUAGAAAGCAAACCCGAAGCUCUUAAAGAAGUUCUUAAUUUGAUGUUUCAUUUGAUAUUGGGAGGUAGGGGCACACACAGAUGGACAAGAAUACAUGAAAUACAUAUGUUACGUGUCAUGUUUUGUUGUAUAUUGGUGUUAGUCAUUUACAUAUCUGCCACAUGAGUGUAUAUUUUUUUUUUUUUUUUUGCUCAACUACAAAAACAGGCGAUUUCGGUAGUACGUGGAGUAUAUCUCAACCAUUGUUAGGAUUAAUAUUGUUAGAUACGCAUGGCUAUUUCAAAAUUCAGGAGCAAUUAAUUUCACAACAAAGCGAAGAUAAAAAGCAAAAAUUAAGACAUAGCUUUUUUAAAUUAAUGGACGAUAUCGAAUCAAAUUUAGCCCCAACUAAUAGAGAAAAUUUUACUAGAAACCUGUAUACAUUUGCUCAAGAAAUAAGAAAUAUUUUAAUAUAAAAAAAAAAAAAAAAAAAAAAAAAAAAAAAUUGAAUUAUAGAAAAAAAAAAAAAAAAAAAAAAAAUACAAAUCGAAUAGAACAAAUAGGAUUGUGCAAAAGGAAUAGACACCGAAUAUUUAUUUUUUUUUUUACUUAUUAAAGACAUAUACAUAUAUGUAUAUAUAUAUAUAUAUAUAUAUAUAUAUAUUGACCAAUUUUAUUAAAGUAAUUAUUUUUUUUUUUUUUUUUAUGCCACUUUAUCAUAAUAAACUUUUAUACUUUUCUUAAAAUUUUAUACUU
This 840-nucleotide long non-coding RNA is filed under the name Piliocolobus tephrosceles (Ugandan red Colobus). Its description in RNAcentral is "lncRNA (ENSPTEG00000011791.1)". Lineage: Eukaryota; Metazoa; Chordata; Mammalia; Primates; Cercopithecidae. The record is from RNAcentral.